CAGUCGCCGCGGGAAUACGGAGGGGGCUAGCGUUGUUCGGAAUUACUGGGCGUAAAGCGCACGUAGGCGGCUUUGUAAGUUAGAGGUGAAAGCCUGGAGCUCAACUCCAGAAUUGCCUUUAAGACUGCAUCGCUUGAAUCGCGGAGAGGUGAGUGGAAUUCCGAGUGUAGAGGUGAAAUUCGUAGAUAUUCGGAAGAACACCAGUGGCGAAGGCGGCUCACUGGACGCGUAUUGACGCUGAGGUGCGAAAGCGUGGGGAGCAAACAGGAUUAGAUACCCAGUAGUCCCUGUCUCUUAUACA
RNAcentral lists this ribosomal RNA (301 nucleotides) under uncultured bacterium. RNAcentral's name for it is "partial 16S ribosomal RNA". It matches the Rfam family "Bacterial small subunit ribosomal RNA", at positions 509 to 808 of the family's 1533-position model. The record is from RNAcentral.